UAGGGAAUCUUCGUCAAUGGACGAAAGUCUGACCGAGCAACGCCGCGCGAGUGAAGAAUGUUUUCGGAUCGUAAAACUCUGUUGUUAGAGAAGAACAAGGACGUUAGUAACUGAACGUCCCCUGACGGUAUCUAACCAGAAAGCCACGGCUAACUACGUGCCAGCAGCCGCGGUAAUACGUAGGUGGCAAGCGUUGUCCGGAUUUAUUGGGCGUAAAGCGAGCGCAGGCGGUUUCUUAAGUCUGAUGUGAAAGCCCCCGGCUCAACCGGGGAGGGUCAUUGGAAACUGGGAGACUUGAGUGCAGAAGAGGAGAGUUGAAUUCCAUGUGUAGCAGUGAAAUGCGUAGAUAUAUGGAGGAACACCAGUAGCGAAGGCGGCUCUCUGGUCUGUAACUGACGCUGAGGCUCGAAAGCGUGGCGAGCAAACAGA
RNAcentral lists this ribosomal RNA (429 nucleotides) under Gemmatimonadota bacterium. Its description in RNAcentral is "Gemmatimonadetes bacterium partial 16S ribosomal RNA". It matches the Rfam family "Bacterial small subunit ribosomal RNA", at positions 355 to 776 of the family's 1533-position model. The record is from RNAcentral. Lineage: Bacteria; Pseudomonadati; Gemmatimonadota.